UGAAUCCAUAUGUGGAAAUCCGUAGUCCUCCUUGGAAGAUUGUUUGAAAGCUCCUUAAUCCUUCCUUCAAGAUUGUCAUGAAGUUUUCCCAAGAGUUUCACAAGAAUAUCUCCAAGAUCAAAAAUGGAAAUGGUUUUCCACUUGAUAGCAAACCAAAAUUACUCUCUAGUUUUAAUGGGAGGAAGAAGAGAAUUGGAUGCUUCAAAUGGGAACCAUAACCCUUCUUUUAUAAGCAUGUAACCAUAGUUAGCCCAUCAUUAACUAUGGUUACUCUUUAAGUAACUAUGGUUACUUUUAUGGGUAUCUACACAUAAAUUAGUCUUACACUCUAUAUGACAAUAUAUUGGCCCCCUUAAUA
Molecule: long non-coding RNA, 358 nt
Filed under: Nicotiana benthamiana
Lineage: Eukaryota; Viridiplantae; Streptophyta; Magnoliopsida; Solanales; Solanaceae
Description: long non-coding RNA (NBEN_LNC024777)
Source: RNAcentral